CAGGAUAGUGCGUCACUGCGGGCGCGCCUCGCUGGCCUCCGGGUCUGGGCUGCUAUCGCGGGAGGGACCUGACCGCACCGGAGCGGGUAGCUCAGCUUCGGGUUAGUGCGGACAGUCAUGUUAUUUUUAAAAUUACGUAAAUCACAUUAUACUGGCCAAAGCACAGAAGGAGAGAGGAAGAGAGAAACAUCAAUGGGAAUCGGCUUCCUCCUGCACACCUGAGCUGGUAACCCAGGCCUGUGACCUGCCCAGAAUAGAACUGGUGACCUCCAGUGCAUGGGCCAAUGCUCAACCAACUGAGCCACACAGGCUGGGCCUCUGUUUCUUUGUAGCACUUACCACAAUGUAUAAUUUAAGAAUUCUCACACAAAUAUGUAUAUAAUGUAUCUUACUUUCCAGACUGUAAUCGAAAGCUCUCUAUUUCUUUUAUUCAUCACCUAGCACCAUGUUUUAGCAUUGUUGUCCUUAACACUCAACUUAAAAUAUUUACAUAUAUUUGAAUGAUUAAAGAAAUCUUGUGUAAAUUUGACUUAAAUGAAGAACCUAGAAGCAAUGAUGAGUUUCCAUAAGACUUGAUUAUUUAGUACCAAGCCACUCAACCUUCCUUCUCUCUACUGCCACUUAAUUUAAAUUCUGACUAGUCAUUGUGGUAUUCCUACAUAUGCAAGAAUCAUUAUUUAGUUUGAUGAUUCAUCAUGACUCCGUCAGGAUUCUCACUUCUACAAAGUUGUCGACAGCCAGUCAUCUUUCCUACACCAGCCUUAGAUGUCCUUUCCAGAGUACCCAGAGUGAGCAUUCUUUAAAAUCACAGAUCACAUGUUCAACUGAAUUGUUAUCAUCAUGAUGUUUUCAUAAUUUUGCAGUAGUAGGAGAUUACUAUCAACAUCCAGAAGUUCACACAAAAAUGAUAACUUCAACAUUUUAGUCAUGUGGUAAUUGACCACAUGUCCUGCAUCAGCAUGACUGAUGACCAAGCUUUUCUUCUUGGCUACAGUAGAUUUUAAAAGAAAAAGGUAGGAAAGAUUCUAGAAUAGGAAGGGAAAAGAAAGGAAACUAACAUUUAUUGAGCAUACAUUAUGUGCCAGAUAUCAUAUAAAUACUUAUUCUCCUUCAGUCCUCACAACAACCCUGUGAGGUAAGUAUUAUACCCAUUUCAUCCUUUUUCAGACAAUGUAGAUUAUUUAAUUUUUCUAUCUUUCAUUCACUUUUAUCCUUCCUACUAUAGAGAUUCUGGCAGUUGUAUAUCUGAAGAGCCUACUUUCACUCAAUAAAUAUUAAUUUAAUGGAAUAAGUUUCACAGAAUCAAUGGAUAAUUGAAAUCAGAAACUAUUAUCCUUCUAUCUUGAAUAUACUUUGCGAGGCCUUGAUAAAGACCUGGCCUACUAAGUAUUCUUACUUGGUUUCCACCUUUCAUAUUUAUUAAACACACACAGUAUAUCAUUCAUGUUCCUAACUGACUCUAGGCUCAGUCUCCUUAAUCUUAUAGGGACCAGGAAGCAAGCCUGAUCAACAAUAUAUAUUGAAUGCUCUUAAUCAUAAAAUGACCUCUCCAUCUUCUGGUUAAAAAUAGCAUAAACAGAGUUCACUUACCUCAGCAUUAGAUAAAAGGGGCCAUCUUUCUCUUACCUGUACCCAGGGGAAACUCGGAAAUCUUCCUUCGUGGUUCUCCUCUAGCCCUGCAUGAAGGGAUCAUUACUGUGGAACUUUAUGUCUUCCCUCCACCUUCUCUUUGAAGGAUGACCUUGGUUCACGUCUAUAUCCCUGAGCAAAUAGGACCUUUAAUUUUCUUUCUCAUCAAUUCCUUUUGGGGCUUUCUAUUUCCUCAUGUGAUUCUAAUUUCUCUGGACCUUAUAAUAGUCUAGAUAAAAGCAUGUUUCAGGAGGAAACUAGCCAGUGGUAGGAUGUACCAGCUUAUUUGUGCCAUA
This is a long non-coding RNA of Myotis daubentonii (Daubenton's bat), 1925 nucleotides long. RefSeq lists it as uncharacterized. The record is from RefSeq and is a predicted model, not a curated record. NCBI's taxonomy places the organism in Eukaryota, Metazoa, Chordata, Mammalia, Chiroptera, Vespertilionidae.